Molecule: small nuclear RNA, 254 nt
Filed under: Neotoma lepida (desert woodrat)
Lineage: Eukaryota; Metazoa; Chordata; Mammalia; Rodentia; Cricetidae
Description: 7SK RNA
Rfam family: 7SK RNA (bases 1-182)
About the family: 7SK was discovered as an abundant small nuclear RNA in the mid-70s but a possible function has only recently been suggested.
Source: Rfam by way of RNAcentral
GGACGCGAGGGCAAUCUGCCUGUGGUAUCUGUCACCCCAUUGUUCUCCAGGGUUGAAUCUGCUGCUCUGGCUAAGGCAGGUGUCACCUUCCUCCAUCACCACUCCCCAUGCAUCCCUCCUGUAUCUGUGCUGUGCAUGAGAGGUUGGCCUUCACCAAUGGAGAAGAACCAAUCUUCUUGUUCCUUGGCUGGAGUCUCCAAACUCUCACAAGUAGCCACAACAAAGGUGCUGCAGUGUCUGUCUGUCUGCAACCU